CCUACGGGGGGCAGCAGUGGGGAAUAUUGCGCAAUGGGCGAAAGCCUGACGCAGCGACGCCGCGUGAGGGAUGAAGGUCUUCGGAUCGUAAACCUCUGUCAGCAGGGAAGAACGGUCACUGUGCUAAUCAGCAGUGAAUUGACGGUACCUGCAAAGGAAGCACCGCCUAACUCCGGACCAGCAGCCGCGGUAAUACGGAGGGUGCGAGCGUUAAUCGGAAUUACUGGGCGUAAAGCGCUCGUAGGCGGUAUGUUAAGUCAAGGGUGAAAUCCCCGCGCUCAACGUGGGAACUGCCUUUGAGACUGGCAAGCUGGAGUGUGUGAGAGGAUAGUGGAAUUCCAGGUGUAGGAGUGAAAUCCGUAGAGAUCUGGAGGAACAUCAGUGGCGAAGGCGACUAUCUGGCACAUAACUGACGCUGAGGAGCGAAAGCGUGGGUAGCAAACAGGAUUAGAUACCCGGGUAGUC
This 465-nucleotide ribosomal RNA is filed under the name uncultured bacterium. RNAcentral describes it as "partial 16S ribosomal RNA". It matches the Rfam family "Bacterial small subunit ribosomal RNA", at positions 338 to 795 of the family's 1533-position model. The record is from RNAcentral.